Molecule: unclassified non-coding RNA, 185 nt
Filed under: uncultured Bacidia
Lineage: Eukaryota; Fungi; Ascomycota; Lecanoromycetes; Lecanorales; Ramalinaceae
Description: sequence contains ITS1
Source: RNAcentral
CAGAGAGGAGCUCCGCGCUCCAGGGGGUUCGCCUCCGCCUCUCAACCCUGUGAAAUCAAUACCUUUGUUGCUUUGGCAGGCCUUGGGGUCAUGCUCAUGCCGGGCCUUCGCCCGGCGAGUGCCUGCCAGAAGCCCAACCAAAACUCUUUUAAUCAUGUCGUCAGAGUAAACAUACAAAUAAAGCA